RNAcentral lists this ribosomal RNA (440 nucleotides) under uncultured bacterium. RNAcentral describes it as "partial 16S ribosomal RNA". It matches the Rfam family "Bacterial small subunit ribosomal RNA", at positions 338 to 795 of the family's 1533-position model. The record is from RNAcentral.
CCUACGUGUGGCAGCAGUGGGGAAUAUUGCACAAUGGGGGAAACCCUGAUGCAGCGACGCCGCGUGAGUGAAGAAGUCUUUCGGUAUGUAAAGCUCUAUCAGCAGGGAAGAAAAUAACGGUACCUGAUGAAGAAGCCCCGGCUAACUACGUGCCAGCAGCCGCGGUAAUCCGUAGGGGGCAAGCGUUAACCGGAUUUACUGGGUGUAAAGGGAGCGUAGACGGCAGCGCAAGUCUGAAGUGAAAUGCCGGGGCUUAACCCCGGAACUGCUUUGGAAACUGUGCAGCUAGAGUGCAGGAGAGGUAAGUGGAAUUCCUAGUGUAGCGGUGAAAUGCGUAGAUAUUAGGAGGAACACUAGUGGCGAAGGCGGCUUACUGGACUGUAACUGACGUUGAGGCUCGAAAGCGUGGGGAGCAAAAAGGAUUAGAUACCCCAGUAGUC